GUAGGUUGCGAGCGUUGUCCGGAUUUACUGGGCGUAAAGCGCGCGCAGGCGGCUUCGAAAGUCCACGGUGAAAGCUCCCGGCCCAACUGGGAGAGGCCCGUGGAAACUCCGGAGCUUGAAGGCAGGAGAGGCAGAUGGAAUUUCCGGUGUAGCGGUAAAAUGCGUAGAUACCGGAAGGAACACCAGUGGCGAAGGCGAUCUGCUGGCCUGUUCUUGACGCUCAGGCGCGAAAGCUAGGGGAGCGACCGGGAUUAGAUACCCCGUUAGUCCUAGCUGUAAACAAUGGGCACUAGGUGUUGUCGGUAUCGACCCCGGCAGUGCCGUAGCUAACGCAUUAAGUGCCCCGCCUGGGGAGUACGACCGCAAGGUUA
RNAcentral lists this ribosomal RNA (371 nucleotides) under uncultured bacterium. RNAcentral's name for it is "bacterial SSU rRNA". It matches the Rfam family "Bacterial small subunit ribosomal RNA", at positions 527 to 896 of the family's 1533-position model. The record is from RNAcentral.